GGCUCCCUGGGCACAGGACUUAGCCAGGCUGUUGCCAGCCUCCUGUGCCACCCACGGCCCAGGUGUAGGAUUGGACUUCUGUCCUGUGGCAGGUUGUAAAGGGCCAGCUUUCUGUUCGACCAUGUGCUUCAGUGAACUGAACUCCGGUGCCUUCAGAACUACAGGAAGAAGCAGGGCCUCGUAGGAAGAGAGAAAACCUCCACUAACUCUCUGAGUUCUUAGAAUGACAGGCUUUUCAUUGCUUUUUCUGAAAAAUAAAAAAAUCACCAUGUCUGUAUAUUAUAUAAAGUAGGAAUAUAUUUAAAUGAUUAUAAACCAGAUGCAUUUGCAAACCUUUCAAGAGCAAUAGCUCCAUCAAGAAAGUGCUUAAAUAAAAAAUAAAUUAUUGCAAUUUUCAGGUUGAGAAAUAAAGUGUGUCUAAUUGCAGUGGCGAACAGGAGCAUUGAAUGAAGCGUAUCUGUCUUCUCCAGGAACUCCACCAAUCAGUCUGUGAUGAGGAAAUGUAAUGAAGAAACAGACACUAUUGGUGAGGUUUAACCGGCCAUCCCAGAGUGCCUGCGCUCACCAGCAAGCAGUCAGUCACCCGCUGGCCCACCCCCUUGCUCAGGCCAGGCCCAGGCCCAGCUGCACCCCAAGGCGCCUCUUCUCUCGCCCAUUCCUCUUACAUGCUCCUUGCUUCAGGAGCCCUCCCGACUGGUCCUGGAAGAUCUCCUCCCUGCAGCCUGCAGGGCACCUCUCAUGCUCUUGCUCUCCUCCCAGUCUGACGUGGCUUCAAGACUCCAGUUAGAAAGGCAGGGGGUGGGGGGUGCGAAGCUGAGGGUGCCGGCAGGUUCUCUGUGGCUGGCGAGGGGAGGCAAACCAGGCCGACCCUAGUGCGUGCGUGUGGAAGUCUGUGCACGUGGUCCAAUGGGGCACCCUGACCAUGACAAGACAGCCUUCCAGCCUCCCAGGAGAGUGAUGUCUAGGCCUAGCGAUGGCUGCUGGGGUCAGUACCAUUGUCUGGUCCGCUGGACACUCCCCUCCUGCCACAGUGGUGUGCAGAGGUGGAGAGCUGUCAGCGAGACACACUGGUGCCCUCAGGGUCAAGUGCCCUGCGGAGCCAUCUCGGUCACAUGACACACCUGCCCUGCUUCCCCAGCCUCCUUCCUGAGCGGGCAAUCCCACAGUAGCGAAGCCCUUCCUUGGCCUUGGUCUUGCUGCACCUGUCCUGGUCCCAACAGGUGCUCUCAUCUCCCUCUCUCCCUGUUGUUUCCCUCACAUCGUCUCAUUCAGUAACGAGAAUGGAGAGUUUAGUUUUGCCUCCUGCCUGGGACAUAUGUACACUCUUUGGAAAUUUGACUAAUUUUUUUUUUUUCUCAAGAGGUGUCGCUCUCUGUGAUUCACAGAAGUUCCAGGCACUGAGGCUCUCCCUGUGCUCCGUGGAGAAGUGAGUGACUUCUGAUUCCCUCUGUAGACAUUUCUGACGUCAGCGAAGGAAGGGAUGAGUUCUGUGUGAGUCUGAGCCUGAGUGGGAGGGAGAGUCCUGCAGAACUCAAGGUUCAUUGUCCAGCAUCAAUGAGGAGGCCAUUCUAGGCGUCCAGUAUUGCUGUCAGCGAGCGAGGGCCGAGUAGAAAUGAAUGCCGCCACCCAGAGAGUACCACGAACUAGCGCUUCCUUCGUCUUCUCCGCGCCUCUGACAUUUCCCUCCUGUGGGCCUCUGCAGUGUGUGAGCACAGCACAACCUGGAAGGUCCUGAUGGGUCUCCACUGGCCUAAGUCAGCCGUGAGGUGCCCAGACGUCAGCGGGAAAGACAGGGGUGACCCUGAGAGCUGAGUGUGGACACACACGCCAGUGUCAGAGGCUCCUCGUGGGAAGAAGGGAGCCAAGGAGUGAUUCAGAGAGCGAGAGGAGGGGCAUGUUUCGCAAAUACUGCCUUUGAAAUGAAAAUGUGUGUGACUAUGACAGAGAUAAGGCAAUCCCAGAGAGCCAGACCCUCAAGUGCACACCACCCAGGCUGAGGAAGAGAACUCGCGAUUCUCCCUCUGGUCACUCUCUUGUCCUAUUGGAGAUCAGCACUGAGUUAAGUUUUGCCACUACCAAUGCUUGUGCCUCUUUAUUUUCUUUAUUGUACACAUGCUAGUCCCCAAACGAUGUUUUAUUUAGCUUUACAGAAAUUCUGGAUUUCAUGUAACCGCGACCACAUGUACGUGUUCUUCUGUGGUUCUCCAUCUUGCUUAAUGUUGAGUUUGUGAGAUUCAUCCAUGGUGACAAGUGAAUGGAAGGAACCAUAGUUCAUCCAUCUUUAUUGCUUUAUAACAUUCUGCUAAAUGGAGAUGGGAUGAUAAAGCCAUCUAUCUGUCAAUAGAUUAUGUUCAGGCUUUUGCUGUUAUAAAAUGCUUCUAUAAAUAUUCUUGAACUUGUCUCCUGGUGAAUUAAAGUGAUGGAUAACACACACAUGCACACACACACACACACUUCAGGGUGUGGGAUGUGCAGAUCUUUCAGUUUCAUGAGAUAAUGUCCUUUUUUCUGUAAAUGGACUCUACUAGAAUUCAGUUGCUCCUCCUUCCCACCAGAGCUGCUCCUUUGUUGUGAUGCUCCUCACUUGGCAGGUGUGAGGCAGCAUCUGCCUGGCUCUGGCCACUCACUUCCACAAGCAUUGGAGAGGCUGAGCCUCUUGUCUUAGGGUUACUGGCCACUGAGCUCCACUUCCUUUUUGGAGAAAGGUUUGAGAUUUUUAUCUAUUUUUAAAUUGGGGUCUCUUUACAUAUUCUGAAUACAUUUUGUGAUUUUUAAAAUUGUUUUUAGUUUUUAGUGUUAGUUAUACAUAGAAGUGGGGCUUAUUUUGACAUAUUCAUAAAUGCUUGUUAUGGGUUAGAUACAAGGUAUCCCUCAAAGCUGUAAGAUAGUUUAGAAAUGAACUGAUUGGAUUAUGAGAGCCCAAAACUCACCAAUGCAUUAAUCCACUUGAAUGGAUUCACUGGGUGGUGGCUGUAGGCAGUGGGGAGUGGUUGGAGGAGGUGUGCCGCUGUCUGGCUGGGCACAAAUCAUGAGCCACUCAAACAGGAACAAACUUUAUUUCCAAACUCCCACAGACACCCGCUCCCCGGGAACCUCUCCCGAACGCCACCCACGCGGCUCCUCCAGGAACACACCACACAUCAACCGGAACUCCCUCCCCUGGGCUGCGCACGUACUCACCCUCGGAACCCUGCGAGAACUCAACAGAAACUCUAAAGUAGCAGGCGCCGGAGGCAGCAAGAGCCAUCCUAUUACCGGACAGUAAAGGUCUAAUAUACAACUGAACACACAACCUGUUUCAAUCCAGCAUAAUGGCAAUCCAACUUAAUGGCUCGCUUCUCAACCAGACUUCUGGUAAAAUGCCAGGGGCCAUUCCGACUUGGCUGUGGCUCUCAGCAGAGGUGGGUCUCUGGGUGCGUUUGCUUGGGGUUCAUACUCUGUCCCUAGUGAAAGAGCCCUUUGCUGCCUGUUGCCAUGUCCUGAGCUGCUUUCCUCUUCCCCAUGAAGUUCUGCCUUGCGUUGGGCCCCCGAGCAAUGGAGCUGGCCGUCUGUGGACUGAGACCUUUGAACCGAGCACCAAAUAAACUUUUCCCUCUCUAAAAUUAUUCUUGUCAGGUCUUUUGGCCACAGCAGCAAAACACUGCCUAAAACAGUACAUAACAUAGAUGCAUAACUUUUCAUGAAUUUGAAACAGCCUAGGCCACAUACUUAAUAAUGC
RNAcentral lists this long non-coding RNA (3718 nucleotides) under Marmota monax (woodchuck). Lineage: Eukaryota; Metazoa; Chordata; Mammalia; Rodentia; Sciuridae. The record is from RNAcentral.